GCUGGUGUCCCAUAGAGGUCGAUUGGAACGGUCUUGUAAGCCGUCGGCUUUGCCCACGUCGGUUCGAAUCCGACCACCAGCUCCA
RNAcentral lists this transfer RNA (85 nucleotides) under Caudoviricetes sp. RNAcentral's name for it is "tRNA-Thr". It matches the Rfam family "tRNA". Rfam says of the family: Transfer RNA (tRNA) molecules are approximately 80 nucleotides in length. Their secondary structure includes four short double-helical elements and three loops (D, anti-codon, and T loops). Lineage: Duplodnaviria; Heunggongvirae; Uroviricota; Caudoviricetes. The record is from RNAcentral.